GUGAGGUUCAGUAGGAAAGGCUGUAAACAGCAGUAGCGUGAUACGGGAUAGCAGGAGGAGAUUAACCCUUCCAUAGCAAAGCGAGAUCAGCUUUUGGGACAAUACAGGUUAUGAAGUGCAGUGUUUUCCCCUUGGCCGCCUUUUGAAAAAAGUUGCAUAUUUCUUUGACAGUUGGAUAGAUAUUAUAACCCAACCUUGUGUCUGCCUCAGCAGCUGUCUGUAUGGCUGUGCACUUAAGAGAUACAAGAGAUACUGUUUUUUUUUCUUCCAUUGUGAAGUCCAUUGGCAGCAGGAGAAAUAUGGUAGAGUCUGGUGCCCUCUUGUGACUACAUUAAACUCGUGGAGAAAACAUCAUC
This is a long non-coding RNA of Pezoporus occidentalis (night parrot), 356 nucleotides long. RefSeq lists it as uncharacterized. The record is from RefSeq and is a predicted model, not a curated record. The transcript is spliced from 3 exons. NCBI's taxonomy places the organism in Eukaryota, Metazoa, Chordata, Aves, Psittaciformes, Psittacidae.